CCAUGGAGAAGAUCUCAGAGGGUGGGUGGAGAAUGAGGAGAAGAAAUAAACCUUAAAGACACCUGAGCAGAGUUCAUCAGGGAAAGGUGUGAAGAGGCGGAGUUUACUCCAGCCCCAAAUUAGGGUUAAGAUUAGACUUGAAAACUCAUUACAGUCACCACUGAUGCCAAAUGCAGAUAACCUCUUUCUGUGGUUGGAAGAUAAGUAUUCAUUUGCUUUAUAACCUAAUAAAUCCAUUUAGAAUUUAAAAGUGUUUGCAACUAGUCUUUUGUUGUUAGUUAGCUUAGCUUUACCUCCUUGGUUGAUUUCGUCCAGCUUCAAUGAGGCCAGCACUUCCCAGCACAUAGCUAGGGGAGAGGUUUACAUUUACAAGAGUAAGAUCAUUAGCAGCAUAAGGUGGUUGAAAGGGAAGGCAUAAUUGCUUUCACUUGCCUAGAGGGCAGAUCUGCUUCUAAAAGAAACACCACCUAAUUAAGAAGAUAUGCAGGAGCUGACAGCAUCAAAACCCACCAAGGAGAGGCAGAAGAGUGUGACGAGACACCAAGCAAUUGGGAAAAAAAUAAAUUAGCAGUCUAUAGCGAAUAAAAUAACAACAAGCCUGAGCAGUGAUGAAUCUCAACGGUUGCAUUCGUUUGAGUUAUGAAUUUGGACAAGGACAAGGGUGAUGCUGCCCUGCAUCGCCUCCCCGGUGCUCUGCGUAACUAAGGGCGGCUUUGCUGCAGCCACGAGAACAGGACAGCAAGAGCAAAAGGUAUUACUGAUGUUGAGCAUGUACGUGGGCUUGGGUUACUCUGAAUAAUUUAAGUCAGGCUUCUUUUAUCUCUCAAGAGUUGCUAUCGCUGCCACGCACAUGAAUCAGACAGGCUUCCCGGGCGGCAGGAGGUGGGGUACCUCCACUACAAUGGGAGCCGAAAGGGAAAAGCUACAGAAAAUUUAAAGAGACUCCAUAAUCACCCUGGACUUCAAAUCUCCGUGUGUGAUACAGCUGAAAGAUGUUCACCAAACUGAAGGUUUCACAAAGACAGGAGCUGCUGGAGAGCUGGGGAAGCUCUCGACCAACACGGGUGGUGGGGAAACAAAGCCCCAGGUUCAGAUCUGUCCCUGUGCCCUCCCGGAGCCUCUCCAAAACCUCCACGAGCAGAUGUGUGUGUGCUGCUGACAGGCUCCUAGAUGCCAGCUGCUAGUUGCUCCACACGGAGCUCGUGCCUUGUAGAGCAGAUUGGUCCCAGCAAAGCAGAAACAAGCGAACGGCACCGCCCUGGCCUCCAGCCCUGAGGCAGCGCCGUCCGAUGGAUGGUGCCAUCCUCAGCAGGGCCACAUGCCCCUGGAGAGGCACCACCUGCAGCCCUGCACCUCCCCAAAAAGCUCUGCCCAGGGAGCUGCAAAGCACCUGAUGCUCACACAGCCAAGGAGGGCAGCUUGACAGUCCCUGGAUCAGAACAGGAGCCUGCGUUUAUGCAGCACAGCGCUCUUCUUGCAAACAAGUGGUUAUUUCAAGCUGUAUCUUUCAGACGGAGCCACCAAAAGUAAUUGCUAAAUUAAUGGGGCAAUAACAAAUGUACAUAUAUUUGGUUAUGGCUUGGCAAACUCAGCUCGAGAAUUAAUUGUAUAUUAAUUCUCUUCUCUGUUCUGCAGAAGCUAAAACUUUAAUUCAAAACAGAAGACUACCAGCUUGCGCAGUCUGUAAGUUACACUUCCAGCCUCAACACCAAGCCAAGAACUACACUGCAGAGCACUUCCAGUUGGGUUUUGCAUUGCUGGUGGGGAAAGGAGAGAGGAAAGAGAGGUUCCAGUGGUGGGUUUUUCAGUUCAUUGUAGGGACGCGAGGUUGGAUUGUGUAGGGAAGAGAAGCGAUCCUCCCAGCCCGUUACUCUGCCUGCUGCAAUGCCCUGGACAGCUCCAAAAAUAAAAGAACAGAGAUGGGAGGAGUAUAAAAACAGAGCUAAAACCUGGCUGGGGGGAACUACCGACAGUAUGAACCACGUGGAGAGACGGAGCUGCUGGGUUUGUACACAACACGCAGAAAAGGUUAUGCGAGAGCCGGCCAGGGAUAGCUGCAUGCCAUGGAGUUAGGAGCCAGAGCGAAUGCAUUUGUACCUGUAUGACACACACCUGGCCUGGACAGCACGGGAAAGCAGAUGCUGCGGGGAUGUGGAUGUUCACCUAUCAAUACCUCGUGAGGGGGGGAAAGCA
Non-coding RNA from Anas platyrhynchos (mallard), 2193 nucleotides. The record is from RefSeq and is a predicted model, not a curated record. NCBI's taxonomy places the organism in Eukaryota, Metazoa, Chordata, Aves, Anseriformes, Anatidae.